UCGAUUGGUGCAGAUCGGGAA
This 21-nucleotide microRNA is filed under the name Picea abies (Norway spruce). Its description in RNAcentral is "pab-miR168b". Its record names the gene pab-miR168b. The record is from miRBase by way of RNAcentral. Lineage: Eukaryota; Viridiplantae; Streptophyta; Pinopsida; Pinales; Pinaceae.